This 542-nucleotide ribosomal RNA is filed under the name Salmonella enterica subsp. enterica serovar Infantis. RNAcentral describes it as "bacterial SSU rRNA". It matches the Rfam family "Bacterial small subunit ribosomal RNA", at positions 1 to 534 of the family's 1533-position model. RNAcentral also lists the same sequence under 1 other name. The record is from RNAcentral. Lineage: Bacteria; Pseudomonadati; Pseudomonadota; Gammaproteobacteria; Enterobacterales; Enterobacteriaceae.
AAAUUGAAGAGUUUGAUCAUGGCUCAGAUUGAACGCUGGCGGCAGGCCUAACACAUGCAAGUCGAACGGUAGCACAGAGAGCUUGCUCUCGGGUGACGAGUGGCGGACGGGUGAGUAAUGUCUGGGAAACUGCCUGAUGGAGGGGGAUAACUACUGGAAACGGUGGCUAAUACCGCAUAACGUCGCAAGACCAAAGAGGGGGACCUUCGGGCCUCUUGCCAUCAGAUGUGCCCAGAUGGGAUUAGCUUGUUGGUGAGGUAACGGCUCACCAAGGCGACGAUCCCUAGCUGGUCUGAGAGGAUGACCAGCCACACUGGAACUGAGACACGGUCCAGACUCCUACGGGAGGCAGCAGUGGGGAAUAUUGCACAAUGGGCGCAAGCCUGAUGCAGCCAUGCCGCGUGUAUGAAGAAGGCCUUCGGGUUGUAAAGUACUUUCAGCGGGGAGGAAGGUGUUGUGGUUAAUAACCGCAGCAAUUGACGUUACCCGCAGAAGAAGCACCGGCUAACUCCGUGCCAGCAGCCGCGGUAAUACGGAGGGUG